UAAAUAGUUUCUAAGUAACGACCGUUUCAAAUUCUACUAAUCCAUGUGAAAACCGAUGUUAUUUAGAGAAUAACCUAACCGCUUUACGCGUAUAUUAUCUUCGUGAGAAAGCCUGUAAAUGUCAACGUCUAUUUUAACAUAGAUCUGUAACUUUCAAUGAAAAUUGUAUGUUAUUAAUUCGAGCAAAACGACGGAAGCUUAAAGUAUUUAAAAUUCAAGUACUGCAAUAUUAUAGCAGUGAAACAUCUAUAACAUAGUGGUGCCGAGAUGUACAAUAGACUGCAACGAUUGACAAACUGGCUUUAUUU
Molecule: non-coding RNA, 308 nt
Organism: Cinara cedri
Lineage: Eukaryota; Metazoa; Arthropoda; Insecta; Hemiptera; Aphididae
Source: the annotation of a GenBank genome assembly